RNAcentral lists this ribosomal RNA (279 nucleotides) under uncultured bacterium. RNAcentral's name for it is "partial 16S ribosomal RNA". It matches the Rfam family "Bacterial small subunit ribosomal RNA", at positions 506 to 784 of the family's 1533-position model. The record is from RNAcentral.
UGCCAGCCGCCGCGGUAAUACGGAGGGUGCGAACGUUAAUCGGAAUUACUGGGCGUAAAGCGCGCGUAGGUGGUUUGAUAAGUGGGAUGUGAAAGCCCCGGGCUCAACCUGGGAACUGCAUUCCAAACUGUCAAGCUAGAGUAUGGUAGAGGGAGGUAGAAUUUCCUGUGUAGCGGUGAAAUGCGUAGAUAUAGGAAGGAACACCAGUGGCGAAGGCGACUUCCUGGGCCAAUACUGACGCUGAGGUGCGAAAGCGUGGGGAGCAAACAGGAUUAGAUA